Molecule: transfer RNA, 68 nt
Filed under: Plotosus japonicus
Lineage: Eukaryota; Metazoa; Chordata; Actinopteri; Siluriformes; Plotosidae
Description: tRNA-Ser
Source: RNAcentral
GAAAGAGGACAAGAAGCAAUAAGAACUGCUAAUUCUUACCCCUGAGGUUAAAAUCCUCAGCUCAUUCA